CGCGUAGGCGGCUUUGCAAGUCAGGCGUGAAAUUCCUGGGCUUAACCUUGGGGCUGCAUUUGAUACGUGUAGACUAGAGUGUGAGAGAGGGUUGUGGAAUUCCCAGUGUAGAGGUGAAAUUCGUAGAUAUUGGGAAGAACACCGGUGGCGAAGGCGGCAACCUGGCUCAUUACUGACGCUGAGGCGCGAAAGCGUGGGGAGCAAACAGGAUUAGAUACCCCAGUA
RNAcentral lists this ribosomal RNA (225 nucleotides) under uncultured Asaia sp. Its description in RNAcentral is "partial 16S ribosomal RNA". It matches the Rfam family "Bacterial small subunit ribosomal RNA", at positions 568 to 792 of the family's 1533-position model. Lineage: Bacteria; Pseudomonadati; Pseudomonadota; Alphaproteobacteria; Acetobacterales; Acetobacteraceae. The record is from RNAcentral.